UUGGCUUUGAUUCCUGAUUCUGCAAAUACAGAAUGUGCAUGCAAAGGUCCUAAUGAAGUCUGAUUUCUCACAUGAAUAAUUUGUGUAGGUGUGGUAAGGCUUAUCAGUAAGUAAUGUUUGGUUCAGUGCCUUUCAGUAGCCACUUGCUGCAUUUCUAAACAGUUUUCAUCAGAAAUUCUUGCAGGUAUCGUUGUGUUUCAGAUCUACAUCACCAAUUGUACAGUCAUUUUGGAAACUGCCUCAACUGAGCUCUCUAGCACCUUUAACUCUUCACACAAUCCCACUGAAAAUAGGCAAGAGAGACACUCAUAAACAACCACUGAAUAGGAAAAAGUAUGCUACUUCUGAAGCUUGCAUGAGCUGGUGUUAAAUGAUCCAGAGCUGAGAUGGACCCACAAGAGUGGAAAGAGGUGGAAAUGGAAAGGAAUGCUGACCAGAGCAUCCUCAGUUGACCUCACCAGAUGGUCACUUCCUUGGGAACACCCCGAGGUAGUCCCCAGAGCAUCCUACAGGAGGCAGGUGAUGGAGCAUCUGCAUGGCACCGCUGAGGUCACAGGAUGUGUCCCAGCCAGUGGAAACAUAUGGUAACCCAGCCCAUCUGUCAGUCUCGUGUUGACUUCAGUGGAAUUUUGCUCCAGCAGAGCUUUACUGCAGUCAUGGUACUCUGUUCGGAAAAGUAAACACGAAUGUAUUCUCAUAUCCUGAAUGCAAGUUAAUCAAGUUGGAUAAAGCAAGAGAAAGCAAAUAUAAGUAAUGCUAUAGACCAGGCUGCCAGCUGAUCUUGUGGUUUGAUAGGUGAUUCCUCAUUAUUUGUUCUGCUAAGAGGAAAACUUGUGCAUUUCUUUGUAACAUUUGUGAAUGGAUUUGUGUGUUUGUCUUUGCACUACUGUGGCAGAGCACCGUAAAUGCGAUAAGGAGUGACUCAUGCAUGCACCCCGUUAGCAACGUGAGCACGCUGAGUGACGUGCAGCCGCUCCCACAGAGCGAUGCAUGCAGUCAGAGGAAGAUGCAUUCUGUGUGCAGUAUGCAAAGGGAUCUGCACGGAGUCGAGGAUGUUUACGCAGCCAUAAAGGGAGCAGGUGUGAGCAGGACACUGAACAGAGCCCAGCAUCCUGUUUUUUCUUAGGAAGUCUCUUUUUUUUUUUUUCAUGGGACAUCAUUGUCCUUCUGUUUGCAUCUCAGCAAGAGAUACAGGGAUCGAUAGUAAAAAUAGCUCCAGUAUCAAAGCUUUUUGAGUGGUCAGGUGCUGGAACAGGCCGCCAAGGAAGGUGGUUGAGUCACCGUCCCUGGAGGUGUUCAAGAAAUGGACAAAUGAUGUGGUACCAAGGAAUGUGGCUUAAUGGGGGAUUGUUGGUGGUAGGUGGACAGUUGGACUAGGUAAUCUUGGAGGUCUUUUCCAGCCUUGGUCAUUCUAUGAUUCUCUUCCUGAGCACGCUGUGCAUGGGGGUGGCUGGAAGGCUUUGCUUAGAUGGAGCUGUGAGCUCCCUGGAGGGAGGACUGCUUUAUCUCAGUGCGAUAGAAAACAUUUCCAUCUGCUCAGUUGGAGCAGAAUCCCUUUCUGACAAUACUUGGCACAGUGUCGAUACCCGAACCACAGUUUUCCAUUGUUGUUUUGACUCUUAGAAAACUUCUAUUAUGGACAAGAAUGUGAUAGCUGCGCAUCUUUUUAUUAAUGUAACUGGUGUUCUGCCACGUUGGCUUUUCUGCUGCAUUUUCAUUAAUGCACUGCAAGGCUUUGGCUGUGCAUGGAGGACUUGACACCUUUCCAAGGCCAUGCUGCGUGGCACUGAGGUGAUGUCUUGGCACUGGAGCUGCGUGCUGUAGAGUAACUUUGGUGCUUUCAUCAUCCUAAUGAAGGAUGGAAACCUUGUUUGCCUCUUUCAGGUUGGUGAAAGUCAUCAUAGACUCCUAGGGAUUGAAGAGAAUUUUUCCAUUUUGUAUUUAAUGACAAGCAAUAAAUAUUCCAUGAAGCCCUACUGAGGCUGUUGUAACGGCAACAGAGACACUACAGUGUGUUUGCGCAGCUUUGCAAGCAGUGUUAUUCAUGAUGCAAAAGAUAGAAUAAAACCACAUUCCCCCUUUAGCCCAGGGGAGCUGGAUUUAUCAGGGAACAGGUACUGGCCAACUUGCUAUGGCUGCCUGAUCUGGCAGGGGAUGGGGAGCCCCAGGGCAAUUCCCUUAAAAUAAUAUAAUAAUUAAAAAAUAAAAAAGCCCCACCAACUGAACACUAUUCAUACAGAAUUUUUCUAAUUUUAGGCAUAUGCUAUGAUUUUGUUGGGGCAUGAUGAGCCUGUGGCUUUUUUCUUUCCCGAACAAUGACAAUAACAAAGUACUGCUAAAAAUAAAAUACCCAACUUUAUAUACAUUGAGAAGGUAUUUAAGUUAUAUUCGUGAAAUGUAACCCCUGUCUGAACUUGGGAAUGUCUGCUGCUAGAUGUUCAAGCCAAUGCCUUUUUAUAGCAGCGUUCUGACAAGGAUUAUUUAUGUAUUUCACUGUAUGCACUGUAUAGAAAACUCUGGAGGCAGUGUUAUUUUUAGUUAUGUGACCUUCAAGUAUAUUCAUCUAUAUACCAGUAAAUUAGUUUUUAACAGGUGAAUGACUUAAUAUAGCUAGGCAGAUGAGUUGCAGAUGUGGAUAACAUCUGUCUAAGAUGCUUUUUUCCAGGCUUUAGAUUACUCAUCUGGGAUGGUUAGAAGCCAGCUAUGGGGAUUAUCGAUAAAAAUGAGUUAAGAAUAGAUUAGAACAUUUCCCUUGUGAGGUAUCAUGUUUCUCUGAUGACUGCAUUUUCCAUCUUCCAUUAAACAUCACAAGUCAGAAUUUUUUGAACUCAUUUUAAACUAUUCAUGUUCUAUUUAAAUUGUAUUAUUAAAAAUGUUCAAGUUCUCUGACACAGAGUGAAGGGUGUUCUUUUAAGAGAAAGCAAAAAGAAGAACACUUUAGCUUUAGCUUAGGGUCUUAUUGUGUUGUGGAGAAGGAAAUUUUUUUCUGCUAUCCUGAGUUGUUGCCUGCUCUGAACCACACUUGUGGCCAAGAUGGGCACUAAUUAAUUUUAGUCAUUGGUGCAAAUGUGAUCCUCCUUUGAGCAUCCAGACUUUUAGUGCAGUUGUGGUUUUGUGUAGUUCCAAUGCUUCGGUGUCUCUUUUUGUUACUGCUUUUUAUUUCCAAUAAAUCUACUCAGUAAUCUGUAUUUUAAAAGUCUUUGGCACAUGCAGAAAGAUGAAGAGAUGGAGUUCAGCAUGAGGAAGUUAUUUGAAAUGCGAUAGCUCUCAAGCUUAAAAUAAAUGAGUAUUUGAAGUCUGUUCAGAGAUGUAAUAAAUGUGAAAUGUCUCUGUCCUUAUGAGGGUCACAGGGACUCUGCUUUGCUGGAUAGAGGAUUCAGCUGGGCUCUUACCUGCCAUACAGAGGUUAUAACUCAAAUCAGGAAAACAGGAAAUAAAAAAGAAAAAAAAAAAAGAGAAAGACAUGGGGGGGGGGGAAA
Long non-coding RNA from Meleagris gallopavo (turkey), 3479 nucleotides. RefSeq lists it as uncharacterized. The record is from RefSeq and is a predicted model, not a curated record. NCBI's taxonomy places the organism in Eukaryota, Metazoa, Chordata, Aves, Galliformes, Phasianidae.